This 58-nucleotide small nucleolar RNA is filed under the name Euglena gracilis. RNAcentral's name for it is "Eg-m71.1". The record is from RNAcentral. Lineage: Eukaryota; Euglenozoa; Euglenophyceae; Euglenales; Euglenaceae.
AUGUCACUUUUCGUUUGGAUUCCCCGUGACGCUGAUUCCGUUGCUUUACCGGCUGAGA